GCCUGAUUCUUGUCUCAUCUCUCUUUAGAGUGGUUUAAGUCCAUUGUCUAUGAAGGAAGUUGCUUCUGAUUUCCACCAGAGAGCUAAGAUGACAUAGGCUCACAGCCUCUGAGCACAGCAGUGGUACUGACAUGCAGAAGGCUCCCAGGAUCACAGCUCAGAGCCUCCGUGCUUUCCCCUGCUCUUGAAGUAAGAACCUCAGGCUGCCUGAAUGAAGUUUUUCUUAUAAGAAUACUCCAGUGCUAAUGACGACAACAAUGAAGGAACCAGCAAUUCAGUACUGGAGGAUGCUGCUGAGGGAACACUGACAUAAGGGCAGGUAAUUAGUGCUGCUGUUUCUACUAAAAUUAGGGGAAGGAAAAAAAGAAGUUUAGUCACUAGAGCAAAGGGAUUUUUAAAUUGCCAAGAAAUCUUAUUUACUGUGUGAAUCCAGCUGAACUAAGUAAGCUAAUCAGUAUGGUGGGCAAAUUCUAUUAACAGUAUAAAAAUACCAACUGAAUAAUUAAAUUGUAGUAAGGAAGAGUAAAUACUUUGAGGAAAAGGGCAAAACUGACACAGCCUGAGUAGAUCCAUGGAGUUACUCCUCUUCAGAUGUUUUCUGCCCCUCUCAAAUAAUCAAAGACAUAACACUGUGUACUGGUUCUAGCUGUAUAGAGCCUUUCACUAUUGCCCGAAUGAG
Molecule: long non-coding RNA, 679 nt
Filed under: Numida meleagris (helmeted guineafowl)
Lineage: Eukaryota; Metazoa; Chordata; Aves; Galliformes; Numididae
Description: lncRNA (ENSNMEG00000019001.1)
Source: RNAcentral